RNAcentral lists this long non-coding RNA (148 nucleotides) under Polistes fuscatus (common paper wasp). RNAcentral's name for it is "uncharacterized LOC122526730". Lineage: Eukaryota; Metazoa; Arthropoda; Insecta; Hymenoptera; Vespidae. The record is from RNAcentral.
UUUAUUGAAGACUAUGUUAUUAAUAAUGAUCAAACAGGUUCCAAAAUCCAAUUUAGCUAUAAUAGAACUCAUGCUAAAAAAGGAAAAAACUUGUUUCUGUUAGAAGGCUAGAUAUUAAUAAAGUGACGCAUUAUUUUAUUUGGAAAAA